Molecule: long non-coding RNA, 2589 nt
Organism: Scophthalmus maximus (turbot)
Lineage: Eukaryota; Metazoa; Chordata; Actinopteri; Pleuronectiformes; Scophthalmidae
Source: Ensembl
AUGGUUUUUAUCUUUAUUAUCUAUAGGAUCUGUCCGGAUAUUUCUGUGCAUGACCAGCCAAUGGAGGAAGAGAGGGUGGUGGAUGAAAUCCAGGCAAAAUCCAGUUCCCCUUUACCCACUGGGCUUCCCAUUAACUGGGCGCUCAUCACUGGCCCUGUCCCUGAGCCUGUUUUCCCCGCACCCUCUUUGAGCACCCAAUUUCCUCCUCCUCCUCAGAGUUCAGCCGUGCAUGCACUACAGACCAAGGUGAAGUCAACUACACAGAGAAGGAUAAGAGGGAGGGACAGAGAGAGGGAAAGAGAAAGGCUGAACACAGAGAUGCUGGUCAGCAGUCCCGCAUCUGAAGUCUUUCUGAGACAGAGACCCAGAGGUAAGGGUCAGGUUUCUCUGCCCGCCGCCUCCUGGCGAUCAGGUGCUGCAAAGAACUUGAGCAGCAGUGACGAAGAGGAGGAGGUAGAAGUGCAAGUCAGGUUGGAGAUCCAUAGCCCUCCUGCUGAAGCGCAGGGGGGGCAGGGGUUUCAGCGGGGGGAGGAAACUGAAGAGGAGCAGUCAGAUAGUAAUAUAGGCAAGAUCAGUUUUCUGACAGGCCAGUAUCGUGGGCUCGGGGCUGGUACCAGUUUGGAGAGUCUAUUGUCUGAUAACUCGAGCAGUAGUAAGGAUGACCAAUCACCUCCUCCUCCACCACCACCUGUGCUGUCCUCAACUUCUGCCUCCACCGCUGCUUCUACAUCAUCUUCUUCCUCCACAUCUUCUAUGUCCACCAGACACUGGGCACCGCCCAAAGGCUUCUGGAGAGUGGACUACACCCAGACAGAAGCACUCGCAGAGCCCCAGAGGGAGUCUAAACCAGCUGAAACAGUCACCAGGAGCGAGGUAGGAGGUACGACGGAUGAAAACGAUGCAUCCUCAGAAUUCAAGCACUCCGACAGCGUGCAACGCUACCUGGACAGGUGUGAACAGAAGGAGGCCGAUGCCGGUGACCCUGCCAAAGGAUUGUGCAGCUCAGACAGCUGGGAGAGCGUGUCUUCACAAAGUGGGGUGCUCUCGGGCGAUGAGAAGCUGAAGGUGAAGCAGAGGGCCUAUGCAAAGUUAAGAGAGAGGCAACACAACAGGGAGGAGAGAGAGCAGAGUGGAGGAGAGGGUGCCAGCUGUGAUGGGGACACACCAUACAAAGUGGAUGAUAAAGUCACAUGUGCCCAUGGGAUUUUGGACAGCUCAGACUCAGCCAUUCUUGCUCAGGAACUUGAACCCUAUUUGAGGUCACUUCUUAUAAUCAGUGACGAGCUUCCUCUGAGCCCAAGACACGAGGAAGCCAAGCGUCUCCUGGACCGGGCACGACUCAAGGCUCGCUCCAGUCAUGUUAAAGGCGAAUGGCCCUCCAGACGCUCUCAUUCUGAUCAGAGAUCCGCCGCGACAAAGCAGCAGAUUGAAUCUCCCAUCCCAAUGCCAGAGCAGAAGGCUGUUCAAGCCAAAGAUGUUACAGCUCAGACUGUAUCUGGUCCCCUCCUUGUCCCCACUCAAAGAGACACGUCCCCCGUUGAACAAGGAGGUCGAUUGAGACGCUACGGUUGUUCCCCCACACGGGUACGCUUUGAGGAUGAAUCAGAGAAAGAAGCAGAGUCUCGGUACUUGGAUAGAGUCCGACAGCGUGGCAGGACUGCGGUGCCUAAGUCCAAGAGUAAAGAAAGCAAUACAGAUUCUAGCAGUAGUGGUUCAGAGAGGAGCAAAAGCCACAGAAGUGUCUCCAUGCCUCCCUCACAGAUGCGAGACGAUGCAGGUGCCAGCAGGUGAAACCACAACAGUGAUUAAAGAGAUAAUAGUGCUGGUGAAGAAAUGUGAGGCCUGUGGCUCCGUAGUCAGGGAACCUCAACCCGUCCUAUCACCAUCAGAUCCACAGAACGCUGAGCCACAGCAGCCUGGCAACCCAGAGGACCCACGGGGGAAACCGGUUCCUCGAUGGGUGCCUCCAAACAGGCCAGAGACAAGUACUCGCCCUAAGGCUCCUCUAACUGUUACUUUUGCCGGAGCUUAUGUGCUGGGGGAAAACAAAGAGAGCAGCACAGGCUGGAAGUCGUCUGGGUUUGGGAAACUUAGGCGAAGGAGCAGGAAAGGAGAAAUUCGUCUCGAGUCUGGCCAUGGCCCUUACGGCCCAUCAUGGGCUCAACGACGUAACUCAAAUCCCAGGAACAGGGUCAACUUGAGCAGGGGUGUUUCCUUUGCCCCUGGCAGCCCCAUCACUCUUGAACCAUCUUUGCUGGGGGCAUCUGGCGGACCCAGAGAACCGCCAACCCCAUCGCUACCUAUAAAGUCAGCCCUAAAGUCAAGCUCAAGGAAUCGCUCUGCUGCUGGUCAGUCUACAGUUCCGUUCCAGAUGACAUCAAAUCAGGGAGGAGAGGGCGGACCACAGCAUUCGACCCCCUGGACUCUCCGGACGCAAGGAGGGAGACCCCAGUGACUUUAAGCCAAGGGGCACCUGCAGCCAGCAGCUCACUGCCGUGUGUCAGACCCUCCACUCUGAGGUAUCCCCAGCCCGAUUCAACACAGAGGUGCCAGCUGCUGAACUCUGGGAUGCCACUCCAGAUGGAACAG